Molecule: long non-coding RNA, 3736 nt
Organism: Ictalurus punctatus (channel catfish)
Lineage: Eukaryota; Metazoa; Chordata; Actinopteri; Siluriformes; Ictaluridae
Exons: 2
Source: RefSeq, a predicted model, not a curated record
GGCGAUGUUUGAGCUGCUAAAGCUUUUAAAUCCUCACACCCUUAAUAUUCAAAACAAAGUUACACCCGUGCUACCUUCUGUUUAUUAUUCAUAAAGUGUUUUUUUUUUUUUUGUCUGUUUAUAUUCUGUUAAGUAUAACUCAACUUAAUGGUUAAUGAAAGUUCAAACCCCAGUGCUGUAAAAGUCGAGUAGACACUGUGUGGGGUUAUUACUAAUAUGUGGUUAUUUACACGUUUAUAACACGUCUAUAAGCUGUCAUAGUCCUGCUGUAUUGGAGAAUGAAGAUGUCUCUAAACAUGACGGUGGACUGAAGAGACGUCAAAGCCGGUAAAGCAGACCGUCCUGAGGCUCAAAUGCAGAAUCAUUAAUAGGUAUUUUACAUAAAACUGGUAUUUCCUCCAACCCACCCACCCUUAGUCCAAAUAUAACUGAUCAGGCAAGACAUGUCCUGAUUUGACGGAGUACUGUUAAAGCAACAGUUCCUUACACAAAUGAAAUCUUAGCCCUGAGUUUGUGAUUUUAAUUUUGCACAGAAGCAGGUUGACACUACGAACGAGUAAUGAAAGUUUCACCACCCAUCAGAUUAUUACCUCCUUCUUGCACUGCUUAAGUGUGAAGUUUGUGAUAAAACACCCGAGGGCAUGCUGUUACAGGAAAAUGAUCAACUUCGGGGUGGUGCGAUGAAGCGCUGUUACUGUUCAAGUUACUGUUACCAUCCAGAAGUGGAUUAUUUUCCGCUAACAGCACGUCCCGAAGUGUUUUAUUCCUCUUACACCACAGCAAUUACUGACUAUUUUAGGUUUUAAUUUAUUAUCGAACACGUCCAAAUUUUUUUUUUUAGUCUGUGUAUAGUUACGUUAGAAAUUAUAAAUACAAAGGCAACGUCCAAUACGGUACAUCGGUCCAUUCGUGUUUCUUGAUGUGAUUACCAAAGUACUGUUUGCAGAGAAGCAGCUUCAUAUCAUGACGCUCCCACCUUCCGUGCUUCACUGUGGGUGUUCCUGGGGUCUGACCAGAGUAUAUUGGGGUCUGACCUGAGUAUAUUGGGGUUGGACCAGAGUUCCUGGAGUGUGACCAGAGUAUAUUGUCCCCAAAAAAGGUUUUUGUCUUAUUUGUCUUUAGACACACAUCUCUGUGCUUCUGUUUAGCAGUGGAGAUUUGAAUGAGGUAUAGAAAUGAAGAUGAUUGCAGACAGUGCAGCAUUUUGUUCUCUGAUUAACUGUGGUUCCUGCUGCUUUCAAGAGCCCUGCAACUCUUUUCAAGCGACUGCUGACUUCUCUCUUAGCUUCUGUACCUGUAACCCAAGAGCAUGUUGGGAAAUCACACGUGGCGCACCUGUCUUGUGACAGUUGGUUGGGGGCCUGUGAAUUUUCCAUCUACUUCUUAUUCCCAACCAGUGGCAGCGUCUUAUAUAAUGACACCUAGUGCAAUUUGCAGAAUAAUUUCUUUGGCGUAUAUAUGUAUCAUCGUUGUUAUUUUUAUGUAACCUUUACACUUGUAUAUAUUUUGUCUGAGUACUUUUUUCCUCUUUUGGUUUAUGAAAUAGGGGUGUAAUGAUACAUUGGGACGCUGUGCAUCGUAGAAAUGUGCAAUAUGGACCUUCUGUUAAUUAUGCAUCUAAUGCAUUUGCACUGUUUGAUCACAAGAAGUCCUAUAUCUGUGCUACCCAUAGAGUUAUAAUAUAAAGAGAGCACGCUGGUCACAUGAUCACAUUCUUUUGUGGACAGUCUGUACCAAUGCCGCAAAUAAUCUGCACUUGUGAAGUGAAACAUCUGGAUCGCAACGACUGACCUGCAGUAUACAUUAUAUAGUUACACUACUACGUUAUAAAAGUUAAAAAGGGUAGCUUUCAAACGACAAGAGCUACACGCCGCCGUGAUCUCCGUUGCCUGGGAACGAGGCAGCGGAAGUUGGCCAUUUUAGCCGACUUUGGAGCUCUGUUUCUGGUUAAAACGAUGCCUCGGGUCCUGCUACGGAGCUCAUUAUGUUUCAAGCGAUCAUUUUCAACGGGUCAGACUCAGAUUUUAAGAUACGGUGAACCCGCAGUACAUUUUGCUUACAAUAUUAAACUUCUGUUCAUAGCAAUUUAUUUAUUUAUUUUAUACAGACAGUAAUGCACAUUGUUUUGCAUUGAUUGUGAUUCAUAAUUUUUUUUUUUUUUUAAAGAGUGUUUUUAGUCAUAAUUCAAAUUUUGUUAAGAAUAAUCUGACAAUUGAAUCGUGAGGGGAGUGCAUCAUUACAGCCCUGUUAGAAAACGAUUAGAACCUUUUAAGCGGAUGCACUGUACCACCAUCUAGUGAAACACACAGCAGUUUCUCUGUUCAGCGGAACACAAAAACACACGAAGGCAAUGAAGCGCUCUUCAUUUAAUACUUUAUAACAUAGAAAAUGCAAACAAAAUCAAACACAACUGAUGUGAUUUUUUUCCUGAUACAAAACACAGUGUAAGAACAAUGUAUUUCACCAAAAAAAAAAGACGUUUACAACCUAAGGUGUUUCCAGAUGGUAUUAAAACAUCUGAGAGCCGAAGCGAUAUGAAAAUGGGCACGUGUGCUUCCCUUAAAUACCGAGGAGACAGAACGGACCUCUAUCUCCACUUCUGUUUAUGUCGUUAUGUCAAUUAACCUUAAUAGCAAAACUCAAUUUGGAAUAUAUAUAAUGUGAAGCACUAUAUUAUUUAAAAAAAAAACAAAAAAAAAAAAAACAACUCUGAUUAGAGAUUAAGGCACAUUCUAUUUAAGGCUUUCAUAUUGCAUGAGCAAAGCUAGAAAUGAAUCAAUCAUCGAUAUUAAUAAAAAUAAAAAAAGAGAAAGAAAAAAACCAGCAGAGAAGCAGAAAUGACAAGGUGAUGUGUGAUCAUGUUAUUCCCCGUUGACGGGAUCAUAACAACACUUACAAGAAUGUAAAUUUGGCUAUAAAAUGAUGUAAUUACUCUCAAACAGGCAUGUGCCAAUAAAUCAGUAAGCAGUAUGUAACGUUAAUGUAAAAUUAACAUCACUACCCCUCUGCUUUAUUCAGAAAUGUUCUUAGGGUCCAGUUUAAACAAGAAUGUUUACGUGUCCUUUACAGAGAAAACACACCUGACAAACAGGUUAGAAAUCGGGUAAAAAUACACAACAUCGUAGGACUAAUUUAAAAAAAAAAAAAAAAAAAAAAAAACCCACACUAGGCUGUUUUUGUUAUUUGCCAAUUAAAUGUCAACAAAUGCCUACUCUCGAGUAAUUCAACGCUUUAAUCGAACUGAAUUUUUCUUACAAGAUGUACUUCAUAUAAAAACGUACACUCUGACACCAGAAAUAAGAAUCAGAAUAUGACUGUUUGGCUUGGCGUAAUUAUGCAGAAAAAUGUACAAGCAUGUUUCUGAUUCGAAUAAACUAACGUAUAUUUAAAUAAAAGAAAGAAAGUUAGUGUUUAAUGGUUCCGAUUUUUUUCCUUCUUCUUCAAAAACAAUCAUUUGGCUGAAGGCAAGUCAUUUAUCACCGGGACAUCAACCAAUUAAACGUGUACACAGUCAAUAAAUUGAACACAAGGCACUGGGAAAGUGUAUUAAGGUCUGGAUUCGGUGCGAGAGUCGUCUCUAAACGGAGCGAGAAUAGUGUGAAAGUGUUAUUUUCAUGUCCCAGAGAGACGACGGAUUUCUGUAAUUUGAGGCACUUAGAUGUCAGAAUAAAUGAAUAAAUAGUCUAAUUCAUACUCUAUAAAGACUCUACAUGUUAAAGUGUGUAACGUCCGAGGG